Molecule: ribosomal RNA, 445 nt
Filed under: uncultured bacterium
Lineage: Bacteria
Description: partial 16S ribosomal RNA
Rfam family: Bacterial small subunit ribosomal RNA
Source: RNAcentral
GUAAGGAAUAUUGGACAAUGGACGCAAGUCUGAUCCAGCCAUGCCGCGUGAAGGAUUAAGGUCCUCUGGAUUGUAAACUUCUUUUAUAAGGGACGAAAAAAGGCUUUUCUAAGUCGUCUGACGGUACCUUAUGAAUAAGCACCGGCUAACUCCGUGCCAGCAGCCGCGGUAAUACGGAGGGUGCAAGCGUUAUCCGGAUUCACUGGGUUUAAAGGGUGCGUAGGCGGGCAGGUAAGUCAGUGGUGAAAUCCUAGAGCUUAACUCUAGAACUGCCAUUGAUACUAUCUGUCUUGAAUAGUGUGGAGGUAAGCGGAAUAUGUCAUGUAGCGGUGAAAUGCUUAGAUAUGACAUAGAACACCUAUUGCGAAGGCAGCUUACUACGCAUAUAUUGACGCUGAGGCACGAAAGCGUGGGGAUCAAACAGGAUUAGAAACCCUUGUAGUCC